ACGGGUGAGUAAUGUCUGGGAAACUGCCCGAUGGAGGGGGAUAACUACUGGAAACGGUAGCUAAUACCGCAUAACGUCUUCGGACCAAAGUGGGGGACCUUCGGGCCUCACACCAUCGGAUGUGCCCAGAUGGGAUUAGCUAGUAGGUGGGGUAACGGCUCACCUAGGCGACGAUCCCUAGCUGGUCUGAGAGGAUGACCAGCCACACUGGAACUGAGACACGGUCCAGACUCCUACGGGAGGCAGCAGUGGGGAAUAUUGCACAAUGGGCGCAAGCCUGAUGCAGCCAUGCCGCGUGUAUGAAGAAGGCCUUCGGGUUGUAAAGUACUUUCAGUGGGGAGGAAGGCGAAGAGGUUAAUAACCUUUUCGAUUGACGUUACCCGCAGAAGAAGCACCGGCUAACUCCGUGCCAGCAGCUGCGGUAAUACGGAGGGUGCAAGCGUUAAUCGGAAUUACUGGGCGUAAAGCGCACGCAGGCGGUCUGUCAAGUCGGAUGUGAAAUCCCCGGGCUCAACCUGGGAACUGCAUUCGAAACUGGCAGGCUAGAGUCUUGUAGAGGGGGGUAGAAUUCCAGGUGUA
This 579-nucleotide ribosomal RNA is filed under the name uncultured Erwinia sp. RNAcentral describes it as "bacterial SSU rRNA". It matches the Rfam family "Bacterial small subunit ribosomal RNA", at positions 102 to 677 of the family's 1533-position model. The record is from RNAcentral. Lineage: Bacteria; Pseudomonadati; Pseudomonadota; Gammaproteobacteria; Enterobacterales; Erwiniaceae.